AGUGAACGCUGGCGGUAGGCCUAACACAUGCCAGUCGAACGGCAGCACAGUAAGAGCUUGCUCUUACGGGUGGCGAGUGGCGGACGGGUGAGGAAUACAUCGGAAUCUACUUUUUCGUGGGGGAUAACGUAGGGGAACUUACGCUAAUGCCGCAUACGACCUACGGGUGAAAGCAGGGGAUCUUCGGACCUUGCGCGAUUGAAUGAGCCGAUGUCGGAUUAGCUAGUUGGCGGGGUAAAGGCCCACCAAGGCGACGAUCCGUAGCUGGUCUGAGAGGAUGAUCAGCCACACUGGAACUGAGACACGGUCCAGACUCCUACGGGAGGCAGCAGUGGGGAAUAUUGGACAAUGGGCGCAAGCCUGAUCCAGCCAUACCGCGUGGGUGAAGAAGGCCUUCGGGUUGUAAAGCCCUUUUGUUGGGAAAGAAAAGCAGCAGGUUAAUACCCCGCUGUUCUGACGGUACCCAAAGAAUAAGCACCGGCUAACUUCGUG
This 492-nucleotide ribosomal RNA is filed under the name uncultured bacterium. RNAcentral describes it as "partial 16S ribosomal RNA". It matches the Rfam family "Bacterial small subunit ribosomal RNA", at positions 29 to 507 of the family's 1533-position model. The record is from RNAcentral.